CCACCAAGUCGGUCGAUGAGAACUUGUUCUACUAUUUGGAUGAAUUGAGUAAACUCUCCCAGGUACAACAGUGUCAACAUUUACCUGGGGACACCCAGGACUUGUUAAUAGUUCAUGUUCGAGAACCUUCCGAUGGGGACGCAAAUGGACAAAAGUGUUGGGACACCUGGCUAUCAUAAUUAAACCAAGUUAAAAACAGUUUCCACUCUUCUGGGCGUUAUGAAAGAUGAUACAUUCACCAAGAUCGUUGAAGGUCUGGAAGCUUGGAUCAUGGAGACUCUGCAGAAGAGCCAUGCCAUCGAUGAGAUAUGCUGGAGGAUGGAGGCUCAGACAGGAUGGGUCCAUUGAACCUAUCAUGUUUCAGAAGGCACCAGCACCUAAAGAAGUUCGAGACAUCACCCACCUGUACUGUAAAGAUGGAAAAUGCAAUGAAACCAGCAAAUGCCAGUGUCUUUCAGUGGGCUUGACUUGCACUGAGUUUUGCUCUUGCUCUUUCCCAGAGUGCCCAAAUAUGACCCACUUUGUCACUGAUGAUAAUGUGGAUGAGUGACAGGGAUGGCUACCAAAAACCGCCCAUGAAGAACACCAGUCAAAGAGCUGGGGAGUUUAACGUGAGGAGAGGGCUCAUUCCUCCUCAGAGUGUUUUGUUUGAUGAACAUUUGUUUGAUUUGAAACAGUAAUUUAAUUUGUACUGU
Molecule: long non-coding RNA, 695 nt
Organism: Entelurus aequoreus (snake pipefish)
Lineage: Eukaryota; Metazoa; Chordata; Actinopteri; Syngnathiformes; Syngnathidae
Exons: 3
Source: RefSeq, a predicted model, not a curated record